CAUAUUAAAUAAGCCGGAGGA
Molecule: ribosomal RNA, 21 nt
Filed under: Rhizoctonia sp. M1av2
Lineage: Eukaryota; Fungi; Basidiomycota; Agaricomycetes; Cantharellales; Ceratobasidiaceae
Also listed under: 1 other name
Description: partial 25S ribosomal RNA
Source: RNAcentral